This 462-nucleotide ribosomal RNA is filed under the name uncultured microorganism. RNAcentral's name for it is "bacterial SSU rRNA". It matches the Rfam family "Bacterial small subunit ribosomal RNA", at positions 9 to 517 of the family's 1533-position model. The record is from RNAcentral.
GAGUUUGAUCCUGGCUCAGAAUGAACGCUGGCGGCAUGCCUAACACAUGCAAGUCGAACGAAGGCUUCGGCCUUAGUGGCGCACGGGUGCGUAACGCGUGGGAAUCUGCCCUUGGGUUCGGAAUAACAGUUAGAAAUGACUGCUAAUACCGGAUGAUGUCGUAAGACCAAAGAUUUAUCGCCCAAGGAUGAGCCCGCGUAGGAUUAGCUAGUUGGUGGGGUAAAGGCCCACCAAGGCGACGAUCCUUAGCUGGUCUGAGAGGAUGAUCAGCCACACUGGGACUGAGACACGGCCCAGACUCCUACGGGAGGCAGCAGUGGGGAAUAUUGGACAAUGGGCGAAAGCCUGAUCCAGCAAUGCCGCGUGAGUGAUGAAGGCCUUAGGGUUGUAAAGCUCUUUUACCCGGGAUGAUAAUGACAGUACCGGGAGAAUAAGCUCCGGCUAACUUCGUGCCAGCAGCCG